CACGUAGGGCGCAAGCGUUGUCCGGAAUUAUUGGGCGUAAAGAGCUCGUAGGCGGUCUGUUGCGUCUGCUGUGAAAACCCGGGGCUUAACCCCUGGCUUGCAGUGGAUACGGACAGACUAGAGGUAGGUAGGGGAGAAUGGAAUUCCCGGUGUAGCGGUGAAAUGCGCAGAUAUCGGAAGGAACGCCGGUGGCGAAAGCGGCGUGCUGGAUCUCUUCUGACGCUGAGGCGCGAAAGCCAGGGGAGCAAACGGG
This 253-nucleotide ribosomal RNA is filed under the name uncultured bacterium. Its description in RNAcentral is "partial 16S ribosomal RNA". It matches the Rfam family "Bacterial small subunit ribosomal RNA", at positions 524 to 776 of the family's 1533-position model. The record is from RNAcentral.